RNAcentral lists this ribosomal RNA (442 nucleotides) under uncultured bacterium. Its description in RNAcentral is "partial 16S ribosomal RNA". It matches the Rfam family "Bacterial small subunit ribosomal RNA", at positions 338 to 795 of the family's 1533-position model. The record is from RNAcentral.
CCUACGGGUGGCAGCAGUGGGGAAUAUUGGGCAAUGGGCGCGAGCCUGAACCAGCAACGCCGCGUGAAGGAAGAAGGCUUUCGGGUUGUAAACUUCUUUUAAGAGGGAAGAGCAGAAGACGGUACCUCUUGAAUAAGCCACGGCUAACUACGUGCCAGCAGCCGCGGUAAUACGGAGGUGGCAAGCGUUGUCCGGAUUUACUGGGUGUAAAGGGCGUGUAGCCGGGCUGAAAAGUCAGAUGUGAAAUCCCGGGGCUCAACCAAGGAACUGCAUUUGAAACUGGCGGUCUUGAGUAUCGGAGAGGCAGGCGGAAUUCCUAGUGUAGCGGUGAAAUGCGUAGAUAUUAGGAGGAACACCAGUGGCGAAGGCGGCCUGCUGGACGACAACUGACGGUGAGGCGCGAAAGCGUGGGGAGCAAACAGGAUUAGAUACCCCAGUAGUC